Molecule: long non-coding RNA, 1178 nt
Organism: Myotis brandtii (Brandt's bat)
Lineage: Eukaryota; Metazoa; Chordata; Mammalia; Chiroptera; Vespertilionidae
Exons: 3
Source: RefSeq, a predicted model, not a curated record
GACAACGCCUGCCCUCGUGAGGCCCACCCUGCGCAGAGGCAAGUCUACCGGUCUAUGCCGAGACCCAUACGCAUCGGGCUUGCUUUGACCGAGCGAUGGAACCACGCAGUGCGUGUGUUCGGGAUUUUCCUGAUCUCAGGUCACCCACACAUUAACAGGACGGACAGUCAGGUCCCCUGGGCUGCGCAGGAGCCUCAAGGAGAGGUGAGAGUUCACUUCCUGGAGAAGCCGGCCCAGCUCACACGAGGGCUCUGCAGGGACAUCUUAGAACAUGCAGCUCAUACAAACAAAAAAACAGCACACCAAUGGAAAAAGUACCCUCGGGUGAAGAUUAAAUAAACAAACAGAAAACCAGCCAGACCCUCACUCAAGUGAGGUGGGGCCAGAGCACGCCCGCAGGAAGCUGUCAGCAUGUCCAGCGUGCGGCAGCGACGCGGACACUCACUCGCAGGACAGCGUCCACACAGCGGGAGCUUGCAGCCAUGCCCUCCGCUGCCUCCUCCCUCCUCCAUCUGACAGCCUCGUGAUGGCCCGAAGGCUGUUCCAGGGGCACAGGAAGCGGGGAGGAAGCCGCGAGUGCCGGUUCUAUCAGCAUCCAAAAGCCCAGCUACGCGUGGGGAUGCCUGGGAAGCCGCCCCGCGUCAGUGACGUCAGGACUGGGAAGCAUGCAGGCCUGCGAGGCGCUGUGCCUCUCCCCGGGGACGUGCAGAUGUGGCCCCAGCGGCCGGCUCUACCCGGCCCUGCCCUUCCCACCACCCUACACCCCCGGCGGCUCCCUGCCCGGGUCCUCAUCUUUGAUGGGUCAGUGAGAACACAGACCUCACGGGGCUAUUUUAAGGAUUGAAAAUUGUAACACACCUGUAGGGCUUUGCACCGGGAACAGGGCCUGGUAUGCCCUUGCCCUUGCCCCUGAGUUAGCAUCAGAGAGGCUGCGCCCACCCAGCGAGGAAGGGCGUUGUCUGUGCUUCCAGAAGCACCUUCUGAGCCCUGGAAGCUCGUUGGUGCCCCUUAUGCGGGGCGCAUACUGAAGGCGUUAGGAGCUGGGGAUUCAGAACCUACGAGGCUGCUCUGCUCCUGGCUCCGCCUUUGUGAGCUGCGAUGCUGGGCAGGGGGGAGGGACUCCGGGAACCCCGGGUGCUUGGAACGAGGCUGAGCCCUUCCCUGUUCUGAACUGUUUU